This 359-nucleotide unclassified non-coding RNA is filed under the name Hevea brasiliensis (rubber tree). Lineage: Eukaryota; Viridiplantae; Streptophyta; Magnoliopsida; Malpighiales; Euphorbiaceae. The record is from RNAcentral.
GUAAGCAUUAUUCUCGAAAUGACCCGCUAAUCUAAACGUCCAAUAAGUCUUCCACUGAGAUUUCCAAUGCCUAAAUACACACCUAACGUUGAAAACAGAAGUUCCACAAGCACAAUCAAAACAGAAUCAUUCAGAGAAUAUCUACAGAAACACACGUCUGUAUUUGCAUAAGUUGCAUACACACAUAUGCUGAAACGAAACUGAAAAAAGCUGAAAAACUGUAAUUGCCAAUGAUCCAUUAAUCUAAUAAGCCUGAAAAAAUGAUCUAAGGAAAGGGACAUCCAAUGAAAGCAAUCAUAAACUAGAGAUAUACCCAUCAAGAAAAAAUCGAAAAGAGAAUAAACCGAGAACGCAAAUUU